RNAcentral lists this transfer RNA (77 nucleotides) under Candidatus Moranbacteria bacterium RIFCSPLOWO2_02_FULL_48_19. RNAcentral describes it as "tRNA-Ile". It matches the Rfam family "tRNA". From Rfam's summary of the family: Transfer RNA (tRNA) molecules are approximately 80 nucleotides in length. Their secondary structure includes four short double-helical elements and three loops (D, anti-codon, and T loops). RNAcentral also lists the same sequence under 1 other name. Lineage: Bacteria; Candidatus Moraniibacteriota. The record is from RNAcentral.
GGGUGAUUAGCUCAGUUGGUUAGAGCGCUACACUGAUAAUGUAGAGGUCCCAAGUUCGAAUCUUGGAUCACCCACCG